GUCUUAUUCAUGCCUACUGAAUUAAGAAAAUGGCAUUUGAUAACCUUCUGUUUCUCACAUGAUAAAAAAAAGAGGCCAACAUUCAGUGCAUCAUAUGCCUUAAAUCAUGUCAAAAGAGAUUUUACAGCUGCACAAAAACAAUGAAUAGAACACAAUUGAUUUGUGCUCCCUUUGUUUCUCAUUUCCCAAUAGAUUGAAGUGGCAACAAAAGUGGCAUAGCAAAAGAACAGCAUUCUUUUGGCACAUAAAAUCUCUGCACAGUAUACACGUGCUUGGAGAAGGCACCUGAUGGAUUAUUACUUUUCAACAAUAUGUUAACACAACAAAAUCUCUGCACAUAAUUUCUAGAAUUGUCCACUCUGUCCCACAUACCAAAUUCACAACAAUUUGUGAAGAGCACUCAAAUUAGAUGUCAACAUAAGUCCCCACAUGUUACUCAGCGACUUGAACACUAUCUUUGUAGGAUGUUGUAUCACAGGUUAAGAGUGGUAUGAGGUAGGGAUCCAAAUGUGUAGAUGAACCUAUUGCAACUUUUUUAAUUUAGCGUGUUAAAUUUUAUUCUUAGUUUAUGGACAUCAACAAUGACAGU
RNAcentral lists this unclassified non-coding RNA (589 nucleotides) under Hevea brasiliensis (rubber tree). Lineage: Eukaryota; Viridiplantae; Streptophyta; Magnoliopsida; Malpighiales; Euphorbiaceae. The record is from RNAcentral.